This 497-nucleotide ribosomal RNA is filed under the name uncultured bacterium. RNAcentral's name for it is "partial 16S ribosomal RNA". It matches the Rfam family "Bacterial small subunit ribosomal RNA", at positions 28 to 507 of the family's 1533-position model. The record is from RNAcentral.
GAUGAACGCUGGCGGCGUGCCUAAUACAUGCAAGUCGAGCGAACAGACGAGGAGCUUGCUCCUCUGACGUUAGCGGCGGACGGGUGAGUAACACGUGGAUAACCUACCUAUAAGACUGGGAUAACUUCGGGAAACCGGAGCUAAUAUCGGAUAAUAUAUUGAACCGCAUGGUUCAAUAGUGAAAGACGGUUUUGCUGUCACUUAUAGAUGGAUCCGCGCCGCAUUAGCUAGUUGGUAAGGUAACGGCUUACCAAGGCAACGAUGCGUAGCCGACCUGAGAGGGUGAUCGCCCACACUGGAACUGAGACACGGUCCAGACUCCUACGGGAGGCAGCAGUAGGGAAUCUUCCGCAAUGGGCGAAAGCUUGACGGAGCAACGCCGCGUGAGUGAUGAAGGUCUUCGGAUCGUAAAACUCUGUUAUUAGGGAAGAACAAAUGUGUAAGUAACUAUGCACGUCUUGACGGUACCUAAUCAGAAAGCCACGGCUAACUACGUG